GAUGAAGAACGCAGCGAAAUGCGAUAAGUAAUGUGAAUUGCAGAAUUCAGUGAAUCGUCGAAUCUUUGAACGCACAUUGCGCCCAUUAGUAUUCUAGUGGGCAUGCCUGUUCGAGCGUCAUUAAGUCCACUUAAGCCCUGCUUAGUGUUGGGAGACUGCUCCAGCGGUGCUACCCUGUAGCUACCCUGCAGCUCCUCAAAGACAGCGGCGGAGUUGUGGUAUCCUCUGAGCUUAGUAACUUGUUCUAGCUUUCGAGUACACCACUUCCCCUGCCGUAAAACCCUUAAUUUUUAAUGGUUGACCUCGGAUCAGGUAGGAAUACCCGCUGAACUUAAGCAUAUCAAUAAGCGGAGGA
Molecule: unclassified non-coding RNA, 355 nt
Filed under: soil metagenome
Description: partial contains 5.8S ribosomal RNA, internal transcribed spacer 2, and large subunit ribosomal RNA
Rfam family: 5.8S ribosomal RNA (bases 1-120)
Source: RNAcentral